AUUGAACGCUGGCGGCAGGCCUAACACAUGCAGGUCGAACGGUAGCACAGGAGAGCUUGCUCUUCGGGUGACGAGUGGCGGACGGGUGAGUAAUGCAUGGGGAGCUGCCCAAUCGAGGGGGAUACCAGCUGGAAACGGCUGCUAAUACCGCAUACGCCCUGAGGGGGAAAGGUGGGGACCUUCGGGCCUACCGCGAUUGGAUGCACCCAUGUGGGAUUAGCUAGUUGGUGGGGUAACGGCUCACCAAGGCGACGAUCUCUAGCUGGUCUGAGAGGAUGACCAGCCACACUGGAACUGAGACACGGUCCAGGCUCCUACGGGAGGCAGCAGUGGGGAAUAUUGCACAAUGGGGGAGACCCUGAUGCAGCCAUGCCGCGUGUGUGAAGAAGGCCUUCGGGUUGUAAAGCACUUUCAGUGGGGAGGAAGGGGAGUAAGUUAAUACCUUACUUCAUUGACGUUACCCACAGAAGAAGCACCGGCUAACUCCGUGCCAGCAGCCGCAGUAA
RNAcentral lists this ribosomal RNA (506 nucleotides) under uncultured bacterium. RNAcentral's name for it is "partial 16S ribosomal RNA". It matches the Rfam family "Bacterial small subunit ribosomal RNA", at positions 29 to 523 of the family's 1533-position model. The record is from RNAcentral.